ACCCUGGUAUGCCCAGUACGGCGAGUGAAGCGGCAAGAGCUCAAAUUUGAAAGCUGGCUCCUUCGGGGUCCGCAUUGUAAUUUGUAGAGGAUGCUUCGGGAGCGGUCCCCAUCUAAGUGCCCUGGAACGGGACGUCAUAGAGGGUGAGAAUCCCGUAUGGGAUGGGGUGUCCGCGCCCGUGUGAAGCUCCUUCGACGAGUCGAGUUGUUUGGGAAUGCAGCUCUAAAUGGGUGGUAAAUUUCAUCUAAAGCUAAAUAUUGGCCGGAGACCGAUAGCGCACAAGUAGAGUGAUCGAAAGAUGAAAAGCACUUUGAAAAGAGAGUUAAAAAGCACGUGAAAUUGUUGAAAGGGAAGCGCUUGCGACCAGACUCGCUCGCGGGGUUCAGCCGGCAUUCGUGCCGGUGUACUUCCCCGCGGGCGGGCCAGCGUCGGUUUGGGCGGUCGGUCAAAGGCCCUCGGAAGGUAACGCCCCUAGGGGCGUCUUAUAGCCGAGGGUGCAAUGCGACCUGCCUAGACCGAGGAACGCGCUUCGGCUCGGACGCUGGCAUAAUGGUCGUAAACGACCCGUCUUGAAAAC
RNAcentral lists this ribosomal RNA (577 nucleotides) under Penicillium chrysogenum. RNAcentral describes it as "partial large subunit ribosomal RNA". It matches the Rfam family "Eukaryotic large subunit ribosomal RNA", at positions 67 to 662 of the family's 3401-position model. The record is from RNAcentral. Lineage: Eukaryota; Fungi; Ascomycota; Eurotiomycetes; Eurotiales; Aspergillaceae.